RNAcentral lists this ribosomal RNA (630 nucleotides) under Escherichia coli. Its description in RNAcentral is "bacterial SSU rRNA". It matches the Rfam family "Bacterial small subunit ribosomal RNA", at positions 761 to 1391 of the family's 1533-position model. The record is from RNAcentral. Lineage: Bacteria; Pseudomonadati; Pseudomonadota; Gammaproteobacteria; Enterobacterales; Enterobacteriaceae. RNAcentral also lists the same sequence under 1 other name.
GUGGGGAGCAAACAGGAUUAGAUACCCUGGUAGUCCACGCUGUAAACGAUGUCGACUUGGAGGUUGUGCCCUUGAGGUGUGGCUUCCGGAGCUAACGCGUUAAGUCGACCGCCUGGGGAGUACGGCCGCAAGGUUAAAACUCAAAUGAAUUGACGGGGGCCCGCACAAGCGGUGGAGCAUGUGGUUUAAUUCGAUGCAACGCGAAGAACCUUACCUGGUCUUGACAUCCACGGAAGUUUUCAGAGAUGAGAAUGUGCCUUCGGGAACCGUGAGACAGGUGCUGCAUGGCUGUCGUCAGCUCGUGUUGUGAAAUGUUGGGUUAAGUCCCGCAACGAGCGCAACCCUUAUCCUUUGUUGCCAGCGGUCCGGCCGGGAACUCAAAGGAGACUGCCAGUGAUAAACUGGAGGAAGGUGGGGAUGACGUCAAGUCAUCAUGGCCCUUACGACCAGGGCUACACACGUGCUACAAUGGCGCAUACAAAGAGAAGCGACCUCGCGAGAGCAAGCGGACCUCAUAAAGUGCGUCGUAGUCCGGAUUGGAGUCUGCAACUCGACUCCAUGAAGUCGGAAUCGCUAGUAAUCGUGGAUCAGAAUGCCACGGUGAAUACGUUCCCGGGCCUUGUACACACC